Molecule: ribosomal RNA, 433 nt
Filed under: uncultured bacterium
Lineage: Bacteria
Description: partial 16S ribosomal RNA
Rfam family: Bacterial small subunit ribosomal RNA
Source: RNAcentral
AACGAACGCUGGCGGCAUGCCUAACACAUGCAAGUCGAACGAGACCUUCGGGUCUAGUGGCGCACGGGUGCGUAACGCGUGGGAACCUGCCCUUAGGUUCGGAAUAACUCCCCGAAAGGGGUGCUAAUACCGGAUAAUGUCUUCGGACCAAAGAUUUAUCGCCUUUGGAUGGGCCCGCGUUGGAUUAGCUAGUUGGUAGGGUAAAAGCCUACCAAGGCGACGAUCCAUAGCUGGUCUGAGAGGAUGAUCAGCCACACUGGGACUGAGACACGGCCCAGAAUCCUACGGGAAGCAGCAGUGGGGAAUAUUGGACAAUGGGCGAAAGCCUGAUCCAGCAAUGCCGCGUGAGUGAUGAAGGCAUUAGGGUUGUAAAGCUCUUUUAACCGGGAUGAUAAUGACAGUACCGGGAGAAUAAGCUCCGGCUAACUCCGUG